GACGAACGCUGGCGGCGUGCCUAAUACAUGCAAGUCGUGCGGACCUUGUUGAAUGUUUGCUUUUAAACGGUUAGCGGCGGGCGGGUGAGUAACACGUGGGCAUGCUGCCUGUAAGACUGGGAUAACGCCGGGAAACCGGGGCUAAUACCAGAUCGUUUCUUCCUCCGCAUGGAGGAAAAAGGAAAGGCGGCUUCGGCUGUCACUUACCGAUGGGCCCGCGGCGGAUUUGCUUGUUGGCGGGGUAAUGGCUCACCAAGGCGACGAUGCGUAGCCGACCUGAGAUGGUGGGUGGCCGAAAUGGGACUGAGACACGGCCCAAACUGCUGCGGGGAGCAGCAGUAGGGAAUCUUUCGCCAUGGGCGGGAAGCUGACGGAGCAACGCCGCGUGGGUGAAGAACGCCUUCGGGUCGGAAAACUCUGUUUCCGGGGAAGAACAAGCGCCGUCCGAACACGGCGGCGCCUUGACGGUACCCGGCCAGAAAGCCACGGCUAACUACGUG
RNAcentral lists this ribosomal RNA (500 nucleotides) under uncultured bacterium. RNAcentral describes it as "partial 16S ribosomal RNA". It matches the Rfam family "Bacterial small subunit ribosomal RNA", at positions 28 to 507 of the family's 1533-position model. The record is from RNAcentral.